GGCUGUAGCUCAGUUGGAUAGAGUGUUUGGCUACGAACCAAAAGGUCGGGGGUUCGAAUCCCUCCAGCC
This 69-nucleotide transfer RNA is filed under the name mouse gut metagenome. It matches the Rfam family "tRNA". Rfam says of the family: Transfer RNA (tRNA) molecules are approximately 80 nucleotides in length. RNAcentral also lists the same sequence under 1 other name. The record is from RNAcentral.